RNAcentral lists this ribosomal RNA (471 nucleotides) under uncultured bacterium. RNAcentral describes it as "SSU rRNA". It matches the Rfam family "Bacterial small subunit ribosomal RNA", at positions 26 to 520 of the family's 1533-position model. The record is from RNAcentral.
AGGAUGAACGCUGGCGGCGUGCCUAACACAUGCAAGUCGAACGUCCUGUCUCGCAAGAGGCAGGGAGUGGCGGACGGGUGAGUACCACGUGGGUCAUCUACCGUGAGGUGAGGAAUACCGGCGAGAAAUCGCCGACAAGACCGCAUAGGCUCGAUGCAAGUCGAGCAAAGCUCUUUCGAGAGAGGGAGCGCCACACGAGGAGCCUGCGCCCGAUUAGCUAGCUGGUGGAGUAACGGUUCACCAGGGCGACGAUCGGUAGCUGGUCUGAGAGGACGAUCAGCCACACUGGGAUUGAGAACGGCCCAGACUCCUACGGGGGGCAGCAGUGAGGAAUUUUCGUCAAUGGGGGCAACCCUGAACGAGCAACGCCGCGUGCAGGAAGAGGUUUCGGAUCGUAAACUGCUUUUCUCGGGAAGAGAACGGACGGUACCCGAGGAAUCAGCCCGGCUAACUACGCGCCAGCAGCCGCGU